This 568-nucleotide ribosomal RNA is filed under the name Hanseniaspora uvarum. Its description in RNAcentral is "partial large subunit ribosomal RNA". It matches the Rfam family "Eukaryotic large subunit ribosomal RNA", at positions 38 to 608 of the family's 3401-position model. The record is from RNAcentral. Lineage: Eukaryota; Fungi; Ascomycota; Saccharomycetes; Saccharomycodales; Saccharomycodaceae.
GCAUAUCAAUAAGCGGAGGAAAAGAAACCAACUGGGAUUACCUUAGUAACGGCGAGUGAAGCGGUAAAAGCUCAAAUUUGAAAUCUGGUACUUUCAGUGCCCGAGUUGUAAUUUGUAGAAUUUGUCUUUGAUUAGGUCCUUGUCUAUGUUCCUUGGAACAGGACGUCAUAGAGGGUGAGAAUCCCGUUUGGCGAGGAUACCUUUUCUCUGUAAGACUUUUUCGAAGAGUCGAGUUGUUUGGGAAUGCAGCUCAAAGUGGGUGGUAAAUUCCAUCUAAAGCUAAAUAUUGGCGAGAGACCGAUAGCGAACAAGUACAGUGAUGGAAAGAUGAAAAGAACUUUGAAAAGAGAGUGAAAAAGUACGUGAAAUUGUUGAAAGGGAAGGGCAUUUGAUCAGACAUGGUGUUUUUUGCAUGCACUCGCCUCUCGUGGGCUUGGGCCUCUCAAAAAUUUCACUGGGCCAACAUCAAUUCUGGCAGCAGGAUAAAUCAUUAAGAAUGUAGCUACUUCGGUAGUGUUAUAGCUUUUUGGAAUACUGUUAGCCGGGAUUGAGGACUGCGCUUCGGCAA